CAAAAACAUCUUUUCUUGUUAGUUUUUGAAGUAUGGCCUGCCCACUGACUUUGAGUUGAGGGCCGCGGUAUUUUGACCGUGCAAAGGUAGCCCAAUCAUUAGUUCUUUAAUUGUGAUCUGGUAUGAAUGGCUUGACGAGACGUGAACUGUCUUAGGGGUAUUGUUGUCAUUGAAUUUGGUUUUUGAGUUAAAAUUCUUAGAUGUUUUUAUGGGACGAGAAGACCCUAUAGAGUUUUACAUUUAAAUCUCAUUUGUUUUGUUGUUUGUUUUGAUUUUGUAUUGGGUUGAAGUGUUUUGUUGGGGUGAUGGGAGGAAUUUAUUUAACUCCUCUUUGUUUAAUUGUAUAUUUAUUUAUAUUUAUUUGAUCCAUUUAUUUUGAUUAAAAGGUUAAGUUUCUU
RNAcentral lists this ribosomal RNA (398 nucleotides) under Uncitermes teevani. RNAcentral describes it as "partial 16S ribosomal RNA". Lineage: Eukaryota; Metazoa; Arthropoda; Insecta; Blattodea; Termitidae. The record is from RNAcentral.